RNAcentral lists this ribosomal RNA (445 nucleotides) under uncultured bacterium. RNAcentral describes it as "partial 16S ribosomal RNA". It matches the Rfam family "Bacterial small subunit ribosomal RNA", at positions 338 to 795 of the family's 1533-position model. The record is from RNAcentral.
CCUACGGGAGGCAGCAGUAGGGAAUUUUCGUCAAUGGGGGAACCCUGACAGAGCAACGCCGCGUGAACGACGAAGUUAUUCGUAAUGUAAAGUUCUUUUAACAGGGAAGAAAGAGAAAUUUGACGGUACCUGAUGAAUAAGCUCCGGCUAACUACGUGACAGCAGCCGCGGUAAUACGUAGGGAGCGAGCGUUAUCCGGAAUUAUUUGGCGAAAAGGGUGCGUAGAUGGCAAAGUAAGUCUUUUGUAAAAAUGCUGGGCUAAACCCAGAAGGGCAAAAGAUACUGCAAAGCUAGAGUAUGACAGAGGCAAGGGGAAGUACAGGUGUAGCGGUAAAAUGCGUAAAUAUAUGUAAGAACACCAGUGGCGAAGGCGGCUUGCUGGGUCAAUACUGACAUUGAGGCACGAAAGCGUGGGGAGCAAACAGGAUUAGAUACCCGGGUAGUC